UACGAAGGGAGCGAGCGUUGUUCGGAAUCACUGGGCGUAAAGCGUGCGUAGGCGGUUUUGUAAGUCAGAAGUGAAAGCCUGGGGCUCAACCUCAGAAUUGCUUUUGAGAUUGCAAAGCUAGAAUCCUGGAGAGGUUAGUGGAAUUCCGAGUGUAGAGGUGAAAUUCGCAGAUAUUCGGAGGAACACCAAGUGGCGAAGGCGACUAACUGGACAGGCAUUGACGCUGAGGCACGAAAGCGUGGGGAUCAA
This 249-nucleotide ribosomal RNA is filed under the name uncultured bacterium. RNAcentral's name for it is "partial 16S ribosomal RNA". It matches the Rfam family "Bacterial small subunit ribosomal RNA", at positions 524 to 771 of the family's 1533-position model. The record is from RNAcentral.